CUGGGUUGUCACUACAUACUACUAGGUGUCACUAAUAGAUUGUGAGAGCUUACUAGGGUUGUUCUGGAUCGACAAUCCUUGAUGAGUUAGAGUGAAAUUAUUUUGAUCCAUUGAAAAGAGUUUCAAUGAUAUUUUGAUAGAGAUCAUUGUAUAUCUUACUACCAGAUAGAAUUAAACUUAUGGGAUCACAUAACUAAAGGAUUAGAACU
This 209-nucleotide long non-coding RNA is filed under the name Elaeis guineensis (African oil palm). RNAcentral's name for it is "long non-coding RNA (EGUI_LNC074818)". The record is from RNAcentral. Lineage: Eukaryota; Viridiplantae; Streptophyta; Magnoliopsida; Arecales; Arecaceae.